Molecule: long non-coding RNA, 1197 nt
Organism: Oncorhynchus keta (chum salmon)
Lineage: Eukaryota; Metazoa; Chordata; Actinopteri; Salmoniformes; Salmonidae
Exons: 3
Source: RefSeq, a predicted model, not a curated record
CACUGUCUAUCACCACGCUCUAGGUAAACACUGUCUAUCACUACGCUCUAGGUAAACACUGUCUAUCACCACGCUCUAGGUAAACACUGUCUAUCACCACGCUCUAGGUAAACACUGUCUAUUACCACGCUCUAGGUAAACACUGUCUAUCACCACGCUCUAGGUAAACACUGUCUAUCACCACGCUCUAGGUAAACACUGUCUAUCACCACGCUCUAGGUAAACACUGUCUAUCACCACGCUCUAGGUAAACACUGUCUAUCACCACGCUCUAGGUAAACACUGUCUAUCACCACGCUCUAGGUAAACACUGUCUAUCACCACGCUCUAGGUAAACACUGUCUAUCACCACGCUCUAGGUAAACACUGUCUAUCACCACGCUCUAGGUAAACACUGUCUAUCACUACGCUCUAGGUAAACACUGUCUAUCACCACGCUCUAGGUAAACACUGUCUAUCACCACGCUCUAGGUAAACACUGUCUAUCACCACGCUCUAGGUAAACACUGUCUAUCACCACGCUCUAGGUAAACACUGUCUAUUACCACGCUCUAGGUAAACACUGUCUAUCACCACGCUCUAGGUAAACACUGUCUAUCACCACGCUCUAGGUAAACACUGUCUAUCACCACGCUCUAGGUAAACACUGUCUAUCACCACGCUCUAGGUAAACACUGUCUAUCACCACGCUCUAGGUAAACACUGUCUAUCACCACGCUCUAGGUAAACACUGUCUAUCACCACGCUCUAGGUAAACACUGUCUAUCACCACGCUCUAGGUAAACACUGUCUAUCACUACGCUCUAGGUAAACACUGUCUAUCACCACGCUCUAGGUAAACACUGUCUAUCACCACGCUCUAGGUAAACACUGUCUAUCACCACGCUCUAGGUAAACACUGUCUAUCACCACGCUCCAGGUAAACACUGUCUAUCACUACGCUCUAGGUAAACACUGUCUAUCACCACGCUCUAGGUAAACACUGUCUAUCACCACGCUCUAGGUAAACACUGUCUAUCACCACGCUCUAGGUAAACACUGUCUAUCACUACGCUCUAGGUAAACACUGUCUAUCACCACGCUCUAGGUAAACACUGUCUAUCACCACGCUCUAGGUAAACACUGUCUAUCACCACGCUCUAGGUAAACACUGUCUAUCACCACGCUCUAGGUAAACACUGUCUAUUACCACGCUCC